Molecule: long non-coding RNA, 774 nt
Filed under: Rattus norvegicus (Norway rat)
Lineage: Eukaryota; Metazoa; Chordata; Mammalia; Rodentia; Muridae
Description: long non-coding RNA NONRATT009880
Source: RNAcentral
UGCAAAGCAAAUUACCCGUCAUGAGUCCAGCCGUCACGGGCUUAACUAGUGCCAUUUGUGCUAGGGCUUUGGAUGGCGUCUCCACAUCGUGCCCUCUGGUGAGAUGCACUUAGCGCCGACUCCCCCCCCCACCCCCCCCGUCUGCUCCAGUGUGUGUGUGUCAUCGUGACUGUGGGGCCUAAAAUGAGGAAGAAGCCUUCUGCUAUCUUCAGCCAAGGGCUCAGAACUUGGCCCUUGUUAGGUUGGGUGGCCAGUACGAGAUGCUCAGUGAACUUUUUGAAAUUCAAAUUUCACAUAGCUCUGGAUUGUCGUUUUAUUUUUUGGUUUUGUUUUUCUUUUUUAUUUGUUUUUGGUGCGUGUGUGUGUAAGUUCAAAUGCAUAUGGAAGCCAGGGGUGGUGACCUUGGUUGUCAUUCUUUAGGUGCUGUCCAAUGUGUAUACGCAUGUGCACACCUGUCUUUCUGUCUGUCUGAGCCUGAAACUCAAAUAGGCUGGACUGCCAGCCCAGCCAGCCCCAGGAACACAUCUCUGUCUGCUUUCCCAGUGCUGAAGUCACAAGUGUGCCCUCAGCAUUAACUUGCUCACCUAGGUUCUAAGGAUUUCCUUUGCCCCAUUUGGAAUGGCGGUUGGUGGUGGCGGCAGCGGCUUGGUUUGAGAUAGACAUUCAAACUCACACUGUAGUGCAGGUUGGCUUCAAAACCACUGUGUAGCCAAGGCUGGACUUGGGCUCCUGAUUCACUUGUUUCCACGUCCCACGGGCUGAGAUUACAGGCAU